UUACUAUACCCAAACUGCAGCUUUAUUUUAAAAAGAAAAUAUAACAAACAGAAAGAAAUUAAAUACCAAAAUGCUGGUGACUAUUUCCAGGUGGCUCAUGGGUGUUUUCAUUAUGCAUUUUCUAAAUUUCUGUAAUGCACAUGCACUAACCUUUGAUUAUUGCAAAAAUAACUUUUAAAAAGAUCUAUUUAUCUGGUUGCAGCUUGUAGAACGUCAUUACUGAACAGUGGUUUUGUGGUCAAUCACUAGAAAUUGUGGAGCAUUAGAGGAGGGAGGCUACUGCUCUCAAUCUACACUUGGAAAGAUGGAGAUGUGUGGUGCCCAGGAAGGGAGAUGUGAUGCCCAGGAAGGGAGAGUAACCUAGGAUUCUGUUUCUUCCUAGGCCCCACUCUGGGUGAGAUAGGCUCUACGUGCCUGGAGUCUACAUUUCAUCACUAUCCUUGCAAUCCUUUAUUUGGGUUAUAGUGUUCUUCUGUCGAUUUGUCUAGUAUUCUCCCACAGCUGUGAGUAGUGCUAUGUCAAUGUCCUACAUUUUGUGCAAGGGAGAAAUAUCAUUUGUCUUCAUCGUCUGAUACCUUUCCCUUCCAUGGUCAACAGAAAUGACAGGGGAGGUCUGAUCUUCUAAUAGGGAAAAUUCCUUCCUGGACCAGGGCUGGAAUUUGCCCACCAAGGCCACA
This 677-nucleotide long non-coding RNA is filed under the name Bos taurus (domestic cattle). RNAcentral's name for it is "long non-coding RNA NONBTAT018474". The record is from RNAcentral. Lineage: Eukaryota; Metazoa; Chordata; Mammalia; Artiodactyla; Bovidae.